Molecule: ribosomal RNA, 561 nt
Filed under: Triticum aestivum (bread wheat)
Lineage: Eukaryota; Viridiplantae; Streptophyta; Magnoliopsida; Poales; Poaceae
Description: partial small subunit ribosomal RNA
Source: RNAcentral
AUGGCUUCACAAGAUCUUUGGAUUUGGCAUGCUUAUUUUGGUUUACCAGGGUCUCUGAAUGAUAUAAAUGUUCUUCAACGUUCUCCUGUUUUUACAAAGCUAGCCGAAGGCCAAACUCCUCCAGUGAAUUAUAGCAUCAAUGGCCAUCAGUACACAAUGGGGUAUUACCUUGCAGAUGGUAUCUAUCCACGGUGGGCAACAUUUGUGAAGAGCAUACCAGCUCCAACUAGCAGAAAGCAUAAAACUUUUGCCAAGAAGCAAGAGGGGGCUAGGAAAGAUGUGGAACGAGCCUUUGGAGUUCUGCAAUCCUGUUUUGCCAAUGUUCGUGGACCGGCUAAAGGAUGGAAACGUAAAGAAAUCACUGAUGUCAUGAAAGCUUGUGUCAUAAUGCACAAUAUGAUAGUUGAAGAGGAGCGGCAAACUGGUCGGCAAAGCUGCACUUUUGAGGCAAUGGGAGAAAGAGUCACAGUCUCUCGUACUCAUGCGGAAGAACUGAGCUCUUUUAUUCAGAUGACUAAUCGGAUUAGAAAUUUCAUGAACAUGAUCAACUUAAACUUGAUC